This 357-nucleotide ribosomal RNA is filed under the name uncultured bacterium. RNAcentral's name for it is "bacterial SSU rRNA". It matches the Rfam family "Bacterial small subunit ribosomal RNA", at positions 1 to 334 of the family's 1533-position model. The record is from RNAcentral.
GUGAGUAGUUCUAGAGUUUGAUCCUGGCUCAGGAUGAACGCUGGCGGCGUGCUUAACGCAUGCAAGUCGAACGAAGCACUUACCAAGGAUUCUUUCGGGAUGACUAAUAAGUGACUGAGUGGCGGACGGGUGAGUAACGCGUGGGUAACCUACCUCACACAGGGGGAUAACAGUUAGAAAUGACUGCUAAUACCGCAUAAGCGCACGGUGCUGCAUGGCACAGUGUGAAAAACUCCGGUGGUGUGAGAUGGACCCGCGUCUGAUUAGCUGGUUGGUGAGGUAACGGCUCACCAAGGCGACGAUCAGUAGCCGACCUGAGAGGGUGACCGGCCACAUUGGGACUGAGACACGGCCCAA